GGGGAGAUGCCAGAGUGGACGAUCGGAGCCGCCUGCUAAGCGGUUGAGGGGGUUAGAAACUUCCUCCCUGGGUUCGAAUCCCAGUCUCCCCG
Molecule: transfer RNA, 92 nt
Filed under: Chloroflexota bacterium
Lineage: Bacteria; Bacillati; Chloroflexota
Also listed under: 1 other name
Description: Chloroflexi bacterium (oil production facility metagenome) tRNA-Ser
Rfam family: tRNA
About the family: Transfer RNA (tRNA) molecules are approximately 80 nucleotides in length.
Source: RNAcentral